This 468-nucleotide ribosomal RNA is filed under the name uncultured bacterium. RNAcentral describes it as "partial 16S ribosomal RNA". It matches the Rfam family "Bacterial small subunit ribosomal RNA", at positions 28 to 507 of the family's 1533-position model. The record is from RNAcentral.
GACGAACGCUGGCGGCGUGCUUAACACAUGCAAGUCGAACGGAAAGGCCCUGCUUUUGUGGGGUGCUCGAGUGGCGACCGGGUGAGUAACACGUGAGUAACCUGCCCUUGACUUUGGGAUAACUUCAGGAAACUGGGGCUAAUACCGGAUAGGAGCUCCUGCUGCAUGGUGGGGGUUGGAAAGUUUCGGCGGUUGGGGAUGGACUCGCGGCUUAUCAGCUUGUUGGUUGGGUAGUGGCUUACCAAGGCUUUGAGGGGUAGCCGGCCUGGGAGGGUGACCGGACCCAUUGCGACUGGGAUGCGGCCCAGACUCCUACGGGAGGCAGCGGUGGGGAAGAUUGCACAGUGGGCGGAAGGCUGAUGCAGCAACGCCGCGUGCGGGAUGACGGCCUUCGGGUUGUAUACCGCUUUCGCCUGAGACGAAGCGUGAGUGACGGUAAUGGGUAAAGAAGCACCGGCUAACUACGUG